AGCAACCCAAAAAUCCCACAAACCAAAGCAAACUACUCCAAAAACAACACCAGCAACACAAAGAAAAUGAAGAAGAAAAAACCCAGAAAGAUUACCAAAAAAUACACGCACCCAUCUGCAUAAAAAAGAAAAAAGAAAAAUCCCCCUCCCAUUAUAUAUUUUUUUCACUCACAAACAAAGGUUGAGUUUGAAGUUUACUUUCGUGGUUUCGAGUUCGUGGUUCCCUAUUAGGAUUGCUUUCUUUUAGUAAAUUGAUUGUCGCAAGAGGUACCAUUUAACAUUUAUUUUAUAAUUUGAUUUUCAUGAUUAUAUAAUACUUGAUUAUAAUGUUAUGAAGUUGCUCAAAUUUAGAUGUGUUAAUUUUGACACAAUAAUAUUGAAAUAUUUCCUAUUUAAGCUAUUGUACAUUUUAUUUUUUUUGUAUCAUAUGUUGUUAUCAAUUAAGUACCUCUUGUGUCCAAUCCAAAAUCAAUUAAAUGUCUAAAAGAAUUAUUCUAAUAGUUUGGUUUAAGACUAAUAAAAAUUCAACAAUUAAAAAAUAAACAAAUUUUGGCAUAUAGACACAAAUUAUUCAAAAACAUAUUAAAAUAAGUAUAAGUCAAUAAAAGCGACCGUGCUAGAACCACGGGACUCGAGGGAUGCUUAAUACCUUCCCCUCGGUCAACAUAAUUUCUUACCCGAAUUUCUAGUUCGUAGACAAAAACUAAAAGAGUCAUUUCCUAUUGAUUAGGGAUUCGAAAAGGUGACUUGGAACAGCACAACUCAAUUCCAAGUGGCGACUUUGAAAAAAUUAAAACAAUCCCUAUUCAAUACCGUCACUUAAAUUGGAAAAAUCCUUCGGCCGUGCGCGAAAAGGGGUGUGACAUCUCUGGCGACUCCGCUGGGGACUAAUCAGAAUUCGAGCUUUGUUAUAUUGACUUUUACUUGAUUUUAUUAUUUUAUUUAUUGGAUAUAUUGUGUUUGAUGGCUAAUUUGCUACUUGCUACUCAUUUAUUGCUUUUUAUAUUUAUAUUGUUGAACUAUACUAAAUUAUUUUCUCUUACGCACACCUUAUGAGUCUUUCAAUACACAUAACACACGUUCACAGGAAUGCAGUUAUGCAUCAUAUUUUCCCUUGAGAUAAAGCUGGAGUGUCUUGACACCUAGUGAAGGAUAUUUAGUUGUCUAUGUUAGGCGGGAUUGGACCAUCAAUGAAGUCGAAAUAGCGCUGCUACCGAUAAGUUGCCCCUCGCUGGCUCGAGUUGUCUACUCGGGU
This 1255-nucleotide long non-coding RNA is filed under the name Solanum tuberosum (potato). RNAcentral's name for it is "long non-coding RNA (STUB_LNC004710)". The record is from RNAcentral. Lineage: Eukaryota; Viridiplantae; Streptophyta; Magnoliopsida; Solanales; Solanaceae.